Catharus ustulatus (Swainson's thrush) is the source of this 2342-nucleotide long non-coding RNA. RefSeq lists it as uncharacterized. NCBI's taxonomy places the organism in Eukaryota, Metazoa, Chordata, Aves, Passeriformes, Turdidae. The record is from RefSeq and is a predicted model, not a curated record. The transcript is spliced from 5 exons.
UAUAUAUUUCAUGAAAAUAUAUACAUUAAGUGAUGUCAUUACCUUGUAUGCUCUUGUAUGGGAGGGGAGAUUAGGCUGAGGAAAAUCUGGAGCAUGCCUUAUUUAUAGAUUAUUAUUUUUUUACUAAGAGCUGCAUUUGGAUCAUUUUUUUCCUCAAAAUCUGUCUCUCAAGCGGCAGAUUCACAACCCGGCAUCCUCAGGCAGGCCGGUACGCCGGUGCUGUUUGGGGGAAGCCCUGCGCAAGUCCCCGGGCUCUGAACAAGGAGACAGUUCUUCUUCCUGCCACAGACAAUAAAAGGAGCCCAUGGUGAUUAGUCCUCAUCCAGUUCUGCACAGCAGACUUCUACAUCUGGACAUCCAUGCAGCAUUUUUCUACACCAGCUUUGGAGCUGAGCACUGAAGUGCCUCAAGGUACAAGACCUCAGUCCCACCUAUGUAAAACAACUUUUAGAUUAAGUCUGCUGAACAGCCUUUCAUCAUGGUUACCCUUCUUUCGCAUUCUACCAUUUCCAUCAGAGGCAUGCAUAUCUAACAGGGCAGCAUUGUGUGGCCUAACAAGUAGAAGCAACCACAGCCACAGGUGCCUACACUGGAUGAACACAUGUCCAAUCUACGUAAAAAGGAAAGGAAAUCAAGGGAAAUGGCUACCAAAUGAGAAUAGUGACUCUACAGAUGAAAAUGGAUGAGCAUAUUUCACUAAGCCAAGAUAAACUCUUUAUAACAAGUUCAUUUUUUACAGUUGUGGGACAAUUUCUGCAUUUAAGGGUCUUGAAAGUUAAUAUUCCCAAACCUUUUGAAAUUGCUGUCUGUGUUCUGCAUCACUACUGAGCCUCACCAUUUCAUGAACUAGUUCUUAGUCAGUUCCCUUCUCAGCUUCAGCUGUGCACAUGUCCCUGUCCCUAAAGGUACGCAAAUAGCCCCAGGAACCUCUCAGUGGUCUUCAGUGCUUCUUUCCUGAUGAUCAACAGUCCUUUAAAAACAAAGCUCAGUUGAAAGCUGUGAUGAAAUGAGAGAAAUCAUAGAAACUACUGCUACUACUUUCUGUACUGGAGUAUUCACAGUGAGCAAGCAUGGAAAAAACCAGAAAGGAAAUAGACUUUUCACCAGACUGUUCUUAUGAGAACAUAGCAGCCUGCUCAGGAAGAGUCUGUAGAGCUACUGGCCCUGAAGAAGACAGAGGAGACAAGAAAAUAAAUGUGAUCAUUGUCUGAAAGCGAGUUUUUUGUCCAGAUCGCCACACACACCGUUUGCCACAUGAAAUGCUCCUCAGAGGAGGAGACAUGGAAGCAUUAUCAGGACAAAAUCACCACUUAAGCAGUGCAGUCUUAGAUCACCUCCCCUACACAAUGACUGAUUGGUGAUUCCAUGUUCAAGGAACUCUGAUCUGCCUGUGGCUAAAAGUUCUUCUGAACACUUUUUAAGAAAAGACUUGGCGUAGUUAAUUUGCUUUUUAUAACAUCUCUACUUUAUAAUACAACAGUUAUAGAGCUUUUAAAGUUCUCCAAAAGUUGCUAGAAUUCUAAAUAUUCUAAGUUUUGGAGCAUUUAUGAUAUUUUUCCAUGUUUUUCCAACUUUUUUUUUUUUUUGUGCGAGUUUUCCAAAUACUAUACUUCUGUGAAGAAGGUGUGAUUUAAGUCAGAUGGGCCCAUGAUACUAAUUUUUGGAUUGCACAGCAAAAGCAAAAUGGCAUUCAGACUGACUUCUGUGCACAUAUAUUGGUUUUAUGCUAAUUGUCAGAAAUUAGCUUAUACAAUUAACAAUUAAACUACACUCAUAUCUGAGUGUUAAACUACUCAAAUCAAUAUUGAGCUCCUAAUUAUACUGGUAAUUCCUCUGUCUAGCAUAUCUGCUGCCAGGAGAGUAUUCUUUAGCAUUGACAGUUCAGAAUUUCAUGAUAGGAUUGGCCAAGUUAGGAGUUACACUUAUCAUUUUGGCUCUGAAUAACUGUAAUAAAGUUUAAAAACUUGUGAAUUAUUCAAAACAAUGCUUUAUCCAUCUUGCACCAAGUUCUCUCCUCAAAACCAGUGCUCACGUGUUCUAGCAGCUAUUGACAGAUUUUUUCUUGCCCAAUAUGAGGCUGAAUUUUUCAUUGGUAAAUCACAGUGUGCCUGGAUCACUGAUGGCUUAAUGGAGAAUUACAUUUCAAAAUUACUUCAAAAUUAGUUAUUUCCUUUACACUUUAAAUUGUUUAAUAACUAAGCACUUAAAUCUUGAAGUGAUCAUUUGUAUUUCAUUGUCCUUCCUUUUCAGUACUAGGUAAGAAAUAAUUAGAAAGCUAUCUUCUUUGUGGAUCUUUUAAUUUUAAAAGAAUACCUAUUAUUAUGUAUAUAUUCAGAAGUAGA